Molecule: ribosomal RNA, 439 nt
Filed under: uncultured bacterium
Lineage: Bacteria
Description: partial 16S ribosomal RNA
Rfam family: Bacterial small subunit ribosomal RNA
Source: RNAcentral
CCUACGGGCGGCAGCAGUGGGGAAUAUUGCACAAUGGGCGUAAGCCUGAUGCAGCGACGCCGCGUGAGUGAAGAAGUACUUCGGUAUGUAAAGCUCUAUUUGUCGGGAAGAAACUGCGGCUACGUGAAUCCGAACCCCCAGCUAACUACGUACCAGCAUCCGCGGUCAUACGGCGGGUGCGAGCGUUAAUCGGAUUUAUGGGGGUUAAAGGGGGCGUAGGCGGAUUUUUAAGGCAGCGGUAAAAUGGGCGGGCUCAACCGGGGCCGGCCGUUGAAACUGGGGAUCUUGAGUGGGCGAGAAGUAUGCGGAAUGCGUGGUGUAGCGGUGAAAUGCAUAGAUAUCACGCAGAACUCCGAUUGCGAAGGCAGCAUACCGGCGCCCGACUGACGCUGAGGCACGAAAGCGUGGGGAUCGAACAGGAUUAGAUACCCUGGUAGUC